CCCUUAGAUGUCCUGGGCCGCACGCGUGCUACACUGAUGCAUACAGCGAGUACUUUCCAGCUCCGCGAGGCAGCUGGUAAUCAGCAAUAUGCAUCGUGCUGGGGAUAGAUCUUUGGAAUUAUAGAUCUUGAACGAGGAAUUCCUAGUAAGCGCAAGUCAUUAGCUUGCGCUGAUUAAGUCCCUGCCCUUUGUACACACCGCCCGUCGCUCCUACCGAUUUCGAGUGAUUCGGUGAACCUUUUGGACAGCGUCUGUCCUCGUGUCAGAUGCUGAAAGUCAAGUAAACCAUAUCACUUAGGGGAAGGAGAAGUCGUAACA
This 318-nucleotide ribosomal RNA is filed under the name uncultured eukaryote. RNAcentral describes it as "partial 18S ribosomal RNA". It matches the Rfam family "Eukaryotic small subunit ribosomal RNA", at positions 1470 to 1796 of the family's 1831-position model. The record is from RNAcentral.